AUUGAACGCUGGCGGCAGGCUUAACGCGUGCAAGUCGAGCGGGGAAAGGUAGCUUGCUACCUGACCUAGCGGCGGACGGGUGAGUAAUGCUUAGGAAUCUGCCUAUUAGUGGGGGACAACAUUCCGAAAGGAAUGCUAAUACCGCAUACGCCCUACGGGGGAAAGCAGGGGAUCUUCGGACCUUGCGCUAAUAGAUGAGCAUAAGUCAGAUUAGCUAGUUGGUGGGGUAAAGGCCUACCAAGGCGACGAUCUGUAGCGGGUCUGAGAGGAUGAUCCGCCACACUGGGACUGAGACACGGCCCAGACUCCUACGGGAGGCAGCAGUGGGGAAUAUUGGACAAUGGGCGAAAGCCUGAUCCAGCCAUGCCGCGUGUGUGAAGAAGGCCUUUUGGUUGUAAAGCACUUUAAGCGAGGAGGAGGCUACUUGGAUUAAUACUCUAGGAUAGUGGACGUUACUCGCAGAAUAAGCACCGGCUAACUCUGUGCCAGCCGCCGCAGUAA
Molecule: ribosomal RNA, 501 nt
Filed under: uncultured bacterium
Lineage: Bacteria
Description: partial 16S ribosomal RNA
Rfam family: Bacterial small subunit ribosomal RNA
Source: RNAcentral